AAGCCCCUCUGGGCUGCCUGGACGGAUGAAGUCCAGGUGGAAAGCCAGUCGACGUUUCCCGGGAGCUACGACUCCAGGGACCCUCAUCCGAGCUUAACCGUUGGAACAAUCACAAACCCAGAAACUUUUAGCUGAGUGUUAUUUAUAAAAAGCGCUGUUUUGACUGCUGUUGGACUUGGAAAAGCUUUGCCCACGAUACUGAAGCGUAAUUAGCUGCCUACUUUUCAAAAUUAUGUGAUGACUUCAUGGGAAAAGAGAUUCACAAGAACCAGUAACAGGAAAGCUUAAAUAAGCUUGGAAAUCUUUAAACUUUCAAUAUCGAUUGAACUUUUUGCUGCAUUACCACAAGAUUCUCUAGUAAGGCUUAAUAGAGCUGAAACAGAAUUCACAAGACAGGAUUCUCACUGACUGUUACCCCUGCGUCCUCUUUCUCCUUACUGAGGGGAAAAUGCCAAAGCAAUUGGGGAAAAAAAUACUGUUUUCUCUGAAAUGAAGACUCCUCAAGAUCCUGUUGCUGGAAUGAGUAUUGGACUCUUCGGUCUACUUCUACAGUCACCAGUACAUCUGGCAUACACUAUGAUGCCCAACAGUAGGAAGAUGAAAGAAAUGUAGAUGUUGGCAUUUCUAAAAGAGAUGUUGUAUCUUUUUUCCUACUUAAUAGACUAUUAGGCUAUAAAUCUCAAUCUUGGCCAGCAAAUGUGUUUGCCAGCUUUUCUUUAUUCUUUUUAAUUUUUUUGAGGAUCAGCAUGGAAAAACAAUUUGCGCAAGGCUCAAGAAGAUGAGAUGGUCUUAUAAACAGUAAUUGAAAUAUGUAUAUUUUUUAAAAGUCUGUUUCAAAUUUCAAACCUUAUUUUAAAAACUAUGUGAAAGCCUCUUGUGAAACUCAACUGAAGUAGGCAUGGCUGAGUCCAGAGGAGCAGUGUGGAGGAUUAGAAAAAUAAACAGGCAGGAGUCAGACAGUCCUGGAUUCAAAUCCCACUUCUAGGCCUUAGAGAAAUAAUAUAAUAGUAGGGGAUAAUAAUAUUCACCCUGAAGAGUGCUGUAGGGAUCAUCAAUAUUUCAUAUAAAGCAUGUCAUAUGGGCAGUGCUCAAUGAAUGGCAAUGCUUUUGCCCAGGUAUAGAACUUCUUAGUAUAAAAGUUUUGUCUUUCAGAAAAUUAACAAAGAUAUUCAGGACCGGAAUUCAGCUCUGGAUCAAGUAGACCUGAUAGAUAUCUACAGAACUUUCUAUCCCAAAACAACAGAAUGUACAUUUUUCUCAUUGCCACAUGUCACUUACUCUAAAAUCGAUCACAUAAUCGGAAGUAAAACACUCCUCAGUAAAUGCAAAAGAACUGAAAUCAUAACAAACAGUCUCUCAGACCACAGUGCAAUUAAAUUAGAAUUCAAGAUUAGGAAAUUCAGUCAAAACCACACAACUACAUGGAAAUUGAACAACCUUUUCCAGAAUGACUCUUGGGUAAAUAAUGAAAUUAAGGCAGAAAUCAAGAAGUUCUUUGAAACUAAUGAGAAAAAGAGAGAAUGUACCAGAAUCUCUGGGACGCAGCUAAAGUAGUGUUAAGAGGGAAAUUUAUAGCACUAAAUGCCCACAUCAAACAGCUGGACAGAGCUCAAGUUGAUAACCUAACAUCUUAACUAAAAGAACUUAGAGAACCAAGAGCAAAUAAACCCCAAAGCUAGCAGAAGAUAAGAAAUAACCAAGAUCAGAGCUGAACUGAAGGAGAUAGAGACACAAAAAAUCCUUAAAAAAAUCAACGAAUCCAGGAGCUGUUUUUUGAAAAAAUUAAUAAAAUAGACAACUAGCUAGACUAACAAAUAAGAAAAGAGAGAAGAGUCAAAUAAACACAAUGAAAAAUGAUAAGGGGGAUAGUACCGCUGACCCCAUAGAAAUACAAACAACCAUCAGAGAA
Long non-coding RNA from Homo sapiens (human), 1909 nucleotides. Ensembl annotates it as small nucleolar RNA host gene 31. Its record names the gene SNHG31. Lineage: Eukaryota; Metazoa; Chordata; Mammalia; Primates; Hominidae. The record is from Ensembl.